AUUGACCAUCUAGAAUUUUAGUAUUGGACUGCGGUUGUGGUUAGAACACUCAAAAGUCACGUGAUCUUAUUCUCUCUCCAAACAACACUUAUUUUUCUUUUCAAACUUAAUUUCUCUCUCAGGGGUUAGUGCCAUAAAAGAUCAGUGCCCUCCUCUCCUUUUUGCAAAAGUUUCAUGCAAGUCUUCCUAUUUUAGUCUUUAAAGUUUUCUUUAGGUUAUCACCUCUACUUGUGGAGCUAACAUUUCCUUUACGAAUUUUGUGGUUUUUCUAUCUUUCAAGGAGGAUGAUGGCUUGCCAUUCUUUUCUUAGAUGCAAAGCUUUGUGAAGACUGGUUGUGGCAAAACCAGUACAAUAUGAUGCUUAAAGUGGUCCAGUAAAAAUCAUAUCGUUCUCUCUAGAGUUUUUCAAUUUAGCAAUGGAGGUGGUUAAACACAUAUAGUGAAGCUUCCAUUUUGUCUAGUUUCUCGAGAUCUUAUUCCUAUUAUAUAUUUCAUCUUUAAAAAUUAACUGUUUUCAACUGCCUUAUUAGCUAAUAUCUCAUCUUCAUUUAUGAAGUUUUCUUCUUUUCUUUCUUAUUAAAGAAAAAAAAAAAAGAUACGUGACAAUGCAAUUGCUUAACAUAAUUUAUUCAGUGAAAAUGUUUAUAAUUUCCUUCACUUUACAUUUGAGGCGUAAGUUUACUUUUAGAAAUAAAAAGUCUCAAAAUUGGAGUUAUUUN
Molecule: long non-coding RNA, 719 nt
Filed under: Ricinus communis (castor bean)
Lineage: Eukaryota; Viridiplantae; Streptophyta; Magnoliopsida; Malpighiales; Euphorbiaceae
Description: long non-coding RNA (RCOM_LNC002742)
Source: RNAcentral